CGAAGGGGGCUAGCGUUGCUCGGAAUUACUGGGCGUAAAGGGAGCGUAGGCGGACAUUUAAGUCAGGGGUGAAAUCCCGGAGCACAACUCCGGAACUGCCUUUGAUACUGGGUGUCUUGAGUGUGAGAGAGGUAUGUGGAACUCCGAGUGUAGAGGUGAAAUUCGUAGAUAUUCGGAAGAACACCAGUGGCGAAGGCGACAUACUGGCUCAUUACUGACGCUGAGGCUCGAAAGCGUGGGGAGCAAACAGGAUUAGAUACCCUGGUAGUCCACGCCGUAAACGAUGAUUGCUAGUUGUCGGGAAGCUUGCUUCUCGGUGACGCAGCUAACGCAUUAAGCAAUCCGCCUGGGGAGUACGGUCGCAAGAUUA
RNAcentral lists this ribosomal RNA (370 nucleotides) under uncultured organism. RNAcentral's name for it is "bacterial SSU rRNA". It matches the Rfam family "Bacterial small subunit ribosomal RNA", at positions 526 to 896 of the family's 1533-position model. The record is from RNAcentral.